AACAAACGCUGGCGGCGUGCCUAAUACAUGCAAGUCGAACGGGGAAAGUAGCAAUAUGAGUACUAGUGGCGCACGGGUGAGUAAUGCGUGGGUAAUCUGCCCUCAAGCUGGGGAUAACCGGUCGAAAGACUGGCUAAUACCGAAUGAGACCACAAGAACUGAGGUUCUAGGGGUUAAAGGUUUUUCGCUUGAGGAUGAGCCCAUGUGGGAUUAGCUAGUUGGUGAGGUAAUGGCUCACCAAGGCGACGAUCCCUAACUGGUCUUAGAGGAUGAUCAGUCACACUGGAACUGAGACACGGUCCAGACUCCUACGGGAGGCAGCAGUAGGGAAUAUUGCGCAAUGGGGGAAACCCUGACGCAGCGACGCCGCGUGAGUGAUGAAGGCCUUCGGGUCGUAAAGCUCUGUCGUAUGGGACUAACAAAAUGAAGGUACCAUGCAAGAAAGGAUCGGCUAACUUCGUGCCAGCAGCCGCCGCGG
Molecule: ribosomal RNA, 478 nt
Filed under: uncultured bacterium
Lineage: Bacteria
Description: partial 16S ribosomal RNA
Rfam family: Bacterial small subunit ribosomal RNA
Source: RNAcentral